Molecule: ribosomal RNA, 2519 nt
Filed under: human metagenome
Description: bacterial LSU rRNA
Rfam family: Bacterial large subunit ribosomal RNA
Source: RNAcentral
AGCGUACAAGGUGGAUGCCUUGGCAAUCAGAGGCGAAGAAGGACGUGCUAAUCUGCGAAAAGCUUGGAUGAGUCGAUAAGAGGCGUUUAAUCCAAGAUGUCCGAAUGGGGAAACCCAGUAGAUGAAGAAUCUACUAUCACUUACUGAAUUCAUAGGUAAGUGAGGCGAACCGGGAGAACUGAAACAUCUAAGUACCCCGAGGAAAAGAAAUCAACCGAGAUUUCGUUAGUAGCGGCGAGCGAACGCGAAGGAGCCUGUUAGUGAUAAUGACAGAGACAGAGGAACAAGCUGGGAAGCUUGGCGACACAGGGUGAUAGCCCCGUACUCGAAGUCCAGGUCGUGGUACUAAGCUAACGAGAAGUAGGGCGGGACACGUGAUAUCCUGUUUGAAGAUGGGGGGACCAUCCUCCAAGGCUAAAUACUCCUGAUUGACCGAUAGUGAACCAGUACUGUGAAGGAAAGGCGAAAAGAACCCCGGUGAGGGGAGUGAAAUAGAACCUGAAACCUUGUACGUACAAGCAGUGGGAGCCCGAAAGGGUGACUGCGUACCUUUUGUAUAAUGGGUCAGCGACUUAUAUUUUGUAGCGAGGUUAACCGAAUAGGGGAGCCGAAGGGAAACCGAGUCUUAACUGGGCGUCUAGUUGCAAGGUAUAGACCCGAAACCCGGUGAUCUAGCCAUGGGCAGGUUGAAGGUUGGGUAACACUAACUGGAGGACCGAACCGACUAAUGUUGAAAAAUUAGCGGAUGACUUGUGGCUGGGGGUGAAAGGCCAAUCAAACCGGGAGAUAGCUGGUUCUCCCCGAAAUCUAUUUAGGUAGAGCCUUGAGCGGACACCUUCGGGGGUAGAGCACUGUUUCGGCUAGGGGUCCAUCCCGGAUUACCAACCCGAUGCAAACUACGAAUACCGAAGAGUGAUACUCAGGAGACACACGGCGGGUGCUAACGUCCGUCGUGGAGAGGGAAACAACCCAGACCGCCAGCUAAGGUCCCAAAGUCUAUAUUAAGUGGGAAACGAAGUGGGAAGGCUUAGACAGCUAGGAUGUUGGCUUAGAAGCAGCCAUCAUUUAAAGAAAGCGUAAUAGCUCACUAGUCGAGUCGGCCUGCGCGGAAGAUGUAACGGGGCUCAAAUAUAGCACCGAAGCUGCGGCAUCAGACGAAAGUCUGUUGGGUAGGGGAGCGUUGUGUAAGCGGAUGAAGGUGUGUUGAGAAGCAUGCUGGACGUAUCACAAGUGCGAAUGCUGACAUAAGUAACGAUAAAACGGGUGAAAAACCCGUUCGCCGGAAGACCAAGGGUUCCUGUCCAACGUUAAUCGGGGCAGGGUGAGUCGGCCCCUAAGGCGAGGCUGAAAAGCGUAGUCGAUGGGAAACGGGUUAAUAUUCCCGUACUUGGUAAAGCUGCGAUGUGGGGACGGAGCAGGUUAGGUUAGCGUACUGUUGGAUAUGUACGUUUAAGUUGGUAGGUGGGAAGUUUAGGCAAAUCCGGACUUCCUUAACACUGAGAGAUGAUGACGAGGCUCUACGGAGCUGAAGUAACUGAUACCACACUUCCAGGAAAAGCCACUAAGCGAAAGGCUUUACUAAACCGUACUGAAAACCGACACAGGUGGUCAGGUAGAGAAUACUCAGGCGCUUGAGAGAACUCGGGUGAAGGAACUAGGCAAAAUAGCACCGUAACUUCGGGAGAAGGUGCGCCGGCGUAGAUUGUAGUCCCUUGCGGAUGAAGGUUGAACCGGUCGAAGAUACCAGCUGGCUGCAACUGUUUAUUAAAAACACAGCACUCUGCAAACACGAAAGUGGACGUAUAGGGUGUGACGCCUGCCCGGUGCUGGAAGGUUAAUUGAAGAUGUGAGAGCAUCGGAUCGAAGCCCCAGUAAACGGCGGCCGUAACUAUAACGGUCCUAAGGUAGCGAAAUUCCUUGUCGGGUAAGUUCCGACCUGCACGAAUGGCAUAAUGAUGGCCAGGCUGUCUCCACCCGAGACUCAGUGAAAUUGAAAUCGCCGUGAAGAUGCGGUGUACCCGCGGCUAGACGGAAAGACCCCGUGAACCUUUACUAUAGCUUGACACUGAACAUUGAAUUUUGAUGUGUAGGAUAGGUGGGAGACUUUGAAGUAGUCACGCCAGUGAUUAUGGAGUCGUCCUUGAAAUACCACCCUUUAACGUUUGAUGUUCUAACGAAGAUUACGAAACGUGGUCUCGGACAGUGUCUGGUGGGUAGUUUGACUGGGGCGGUCUCCUCCCAAAGAGUAACGGAGGAGCACGAAGGUUUGCUAAUCACGGUCGGACAUCGUGAGGUUAGUGCAAUGGUAUAAGCAAGCUUAACUGCGAGACAGACAAGUCGAGCAGGUACGAAAGUAGGUCAUAGUGAUCCGGUGGUUCUGAAUGGAAGGGCCAUCGCUCAACGGAUAAAAGGUACUCCGGGGAUAACAGGCUGAUACCGCCCAAGAGUUCAUAUCGACGGCGGUGUUUGGCACCUCGAUGUCGGCUCAUCACAUCCUGGGGCUGAAGUAGGUCCCAAGG